Molecule: ribosomal RNA, 253 nt
Filed under: uncultured bacterium
Lineage: Bacteria
Description: partial 16S ribosomal RNA
Rfam family: Bacterial small subunit ribosomal RNA
Source: RNAcentral
GACAGAGGCCUCAAGCGUUAGGCGGAAUCACUGGGCUUAAAGCGUGUGUAGGCGGAUGCCUAAGUACCUUGUGAAAUCCCACGGCUCAACCGUGGAACUGCUGGGUAUACUGGGCGUCUUGGGCCAUUCAGGGGCGACUGGAACAAGCGGUGGAGCGGUGAAAUGCGUAGAUAUCGCUUGGAACGCCGAAGGUGAAAACAGGUCGCUGGGGAUGUGCCGACGCUGGGACACGAAAGCCAGGGGAGCAAACGGG